RNAcentral lists this transfer RNA (56 nucleotides) under Livia junci. RNAcentral's name for it is "tRNA-Ser". Lineage: Eukaryota; Metazoa; Arthropoda; Insecta; Hemiptera; Liviidae. The record is from RNAcentral.
GGAAAAAAAGAGAAAGCUGCUAACUAUCUCAAAGCAUUAAAUUGUUACUUUCCCCC